Molecule: ribosomal RNA, 433 nt
Filed under: uncultured bacterium
Lineage: Bacteria
Description: partial 16S ribosomal RNA
Rfam family: Bacterial small subunit ribosomal RNA
Source: RNAcentral
AACGAACGCUGGCGGCAUGCCUAACACAUGCAAGUCGAACGAGACCUUCGGGUCUAGUGGCGCACGGGUGCGUAACGCGGGGUAACCUGCCCUUAGGUUCGGAAUAACUCCCCGAAAGGUGUGCUAAUACCGGAUAAUGUCUUCGGACCAAAGAUGUAUCGCCUUUGGAUGGGCCCGCGUUGGAUUAGCUGGUUGGUAGGGUAAAAGCCUACCAAGGAGACGAUCCAUAGCUGGUAUGAGAGGAUGAUAAGCCACACUGGGACUGAGACACGGACCAGACUCCUACGGGACGGAGCAGUGGGGAAUAUUGGACAAGGGGCGCAAGCCUGACACCGCCAUGCCGGGUGAGUGAGGCAGGCCUUAGGGUUGUAAAGCUCUUUUACCCGGGAUGAUAAUGACAGUACCGGGAGAAUAAGCUCCGGCUAACUACGUG